RNAcentral lists this ribosomal RNA (561 nucleotides) under Plectosphaerella cucumerina. RNAcentral's name for it is "eukaryotic LSU rRNA". It matches the Rfam family "Eukaryotic large subunit ribosomal RNA", at positions 73 to 656 of the family's 3401-position model. Lineage: Eukaryota; Fungi; Ascomycota; Sordariomycetes; Glomerellales; Plectosphaerellaceae. The record is from RNAcentral.
AUGCUCAGUACGGCGAGUGAGCGGCAACAGCUCAAAUUUGAAAUCUGGCUCCUUCGGGGCCCGAGUUGUAAUUUGCAGAGGAUGCGUCGGGUACGGGUGCCUUCCGAGUUCCCUGGAACGGGACGCCAUAGAGGGUGAGAGCCCCGUCUGGUAGGAUACCCAGCCCGUGUGACGCUCCCUCGACGAGUCGAGUAGUUUGGGAAUGCUGCUCUAACGGGAGGUAUACUCCUUCCAAGGCUAAAUACCGGCUGGAGACCGAUAGCGCACAAGUAGAGUGAUCGAAAGAUGAAAAGCACUUUGAAAAGAGAGUCAAACAGCACGUGAAAUUGUUAAAAGGGAAGCGCUCGCUACCAGACUUGGGUUCGGCGGUUCAACCGGGGCCACGCCCCGGGGCAUUCCGCCGGCCCAGGCCAGCAUCAGCUUUCCGUCGGGGGUAAAGGCGUCGGGAAUGUGGCUCCCCUUCGGGGGAGUGUUAUAGCCCGUCGUGUCAUACCCUUCGGGGGGCUGAGGUACGCGCUUCUGCAAGGAUGCUGGCGUAAUGGUAGCUAGUGACCCGUCUUG